RNAcentral lists this long non-coding RNA (529 nucleotides) under Lathyrus oleraceus (garden pea). RNAcentral describes it as "Pisum sativum (pea) long non-coding RNA (PSAT_LNC040558)". Lineage: Eukaryota; Viridiplantae; Streptophyta; Magnoliopsida; Fabales; Fabaceae. The record is from RNAcentral.
UCUUCUCUCGACUCACAGUCUAACCCACAACCCUCUCUCUCAAUCGCGUCUCUCCCACUUCGUUCCCAAACGCUUCGCUCAACCUCCCUCACAUCCUCAAUCGCUUCGCUACGUCUCACACCCAAAUGCCCUCAUCUCCCUCAAUCAAUCCAUCCUCGACCUCAACCCUUUCUCUCAAUCACUCUCGAAUCAUACAAAAAAACAAAGGCUGAAGCAAAAGAGAGCUCACCUCCGGUGGUGAAGACGGUAACGACGGCUCAACCUCGCUCCUUCCCUCUCCCAAAUAGGUUUGUGUUUGAUUUUUCGAUUUAGGGUUCUGUUUGCUCCGUUUUUCCAAUCCGCCUCCACUUCGUUUUCGAAAUCGCCGUUAAUUUUUUUCCUCUCCUCACUGAUUUCUCUUUCUCUCCUUUUAUGCUCCAGAUUAGGGUUUUCGGAUUUGGCCUCUAGAGCUCAAAGAAGAAAAUUUCCAGAAGUCUUUUUGAUGCUCAGAAGUGCUUUUAUCUUGUUUCACGCUACACUUCCGGAAACG